AGUGAACGCUGGCGGUAGGCCUAACACAUGCAAGUCGAACGGCAGCACAGUAAGAGCUUGCUCUUACGGGUGGCGAGUGGCGGACGGGUGAGGAAUACAUCGGAACCUACUUUUUCGUGGGGGAUAACGUAGGGAAACUUACGCUAAUACCGCAUACGACCUACGGGUGAAAGCAGGGGAUCUUCGGACCUUGCGCGAUUGAAUGAGCCGAUGUCGGAUUAGCUAGUUGGCGGGGUAAAGGCCCACCAAGGCGACGAUCCGUAGCUGGUCUGAGAGGAUGAUCAGCCACACUGGAACUGAGACACGGUCCAGACUCCUACGGGAGGCAGCAGUGGGGAAUAUUGGACAAUGGGCGCAAGCCUGAUCCAGCCAUACCGCGUGGGUGAAGAAGGCCUUCGGGUUGUAAAGCCCUUUUGUUGGGAAAGAAAAGCAGCAGGUUAAUACCCCGCUGUUCUGACGGUACCCAAAGAAUAAGCACCGGCUAACUUCGU
Molecule: ribosomal RNA, 491 nt
Filed under: uncultured bacterium
Lineage: Bacteria
Description: partial 16S ribosomal RNA
Rfam family: Bacterial small subunit ribosomal RNA
Source: RNAcentral